Molecule: ribosomal RNA, 229 nt
Filed under: uncultured bacterium
Lineage: Bacteria
Description: partial 16S ribosomal RNA
Rfam family: Bacterial small subunit ribosomal RNA
Source: RNAcentral
UGGGCAACCUGCCCCAGACUCAGGGAUAACCCCGGGAAACCGGGGCUAAUACCCGAUACUCCGAUCGAACCACAUGGCUCGAUCGGGAAAGCUCCGACGGUCUGGGAUGGGCCCGCGGCCUAUCAGCUUGUUGGUGGGGUAACGGCCUACCAAGGCGACGAUGGGUAGCUGGUCUGAGAGGACGACCAGCCACACUGGAACUGAGAUACGGUCCAGACUCCUACGGGAG